This 584-nucleotide ribosomal RNA is filed under the name uncultured bacterium. RNAcentral describes it as "partial 16S ribosomal RNA". It matches the Rfam family "Bacterial small subunit ribosomal RNA", at positions 355 to 1375 of the family's 1533-position model. The record is from RNAcentral.
UGGGGAAUUUUGGACAAUGGGCGAAAGCCUGAUCCAGCAAUGCCGCGUGUGUGAAGAAGGCCUUCGGGUUGUAAAGCACUUUUGUCCGGAAAGAAAUCUUGGCUCUAAUACAGUCGGGGGAUGACGGUACCGGAAGAAUAAGCACCGGCUAACUACGUGCCAGCAGCCGCGGUAAUACGUAGGGUGCAAGCGUUAAUCGGAAUUACUGGGCGUAAAGCGUGCGCAGGCGGUUUGCUAAGACCGAUGUGAAAUCCCCGGGCUCAACCUGGGAACUGCAUUGGUGACUGGCAGGCUAGAGUAUGGCAGAGGGGGGUAGAAUUCCACGUGUAGCAGUGAAAUGCGUAGAGAUGUGGAGGAAUACCGAUGGCGAAGGCAGCCCCCUGGGCCAAUACUGACGCUCAUGCACGAAAGCGUGGGGAGCAAACAGGAUUAGAUACCCUGGUAGUCCACGCCCUAAACGAUGUCAACUAGUUGUUGGGGAUUCAUUUCCUUAGUAACGUAGCUAACGCGUGAAGUUGACCGCCUGGGGAGUACGGUCGCAAGAUUAAAACUCAAAUGAAUUGACGGGGUCAUAGCUGUUUCCU